This 117-nucleotide transfer RNA is filed under the name Colletotrichum chlorophyti. It matches the Rfam family "tRNA". From Rfam's summary of the family: Transfer RNA (tRNA) molecules are approximately 80 nucleotides in length. Lineage: Eukaryota; Fungi; Ascomycota; Sordariomycetes; Glomerellales; Glomerellaceae. The record is from Rfam by way of RNAcentral.
GCCCGAAUGGCUCAGUGGUAAAGCGUCUCACUAGUAAAUCCCCACACCGUACUUGACUCGUCUUGUACGAUGGGGACCUCAAUGAGAAGAUCGCCAGUUCGAUUCUGGCUUUGGGCA